UACUGAGUUUUUAACUCUCCAAACCAUGUGAACUUACCACUGUUGCCUCGGUGGUCGGUGCUGGAAACAGUGCUGCCACCGGUGGACUACUAAACUCUUGUUAAUUUUUGUCAAAUCUGAAUCAAACUAAGAAAUAAGUUAAAACUUUCAACAACGGAUCUCUUGGUUCUGGCAUCGAUGAAGAACGCAGCGAAAUGCGAUAAGUAAUGUGAAUUGCAGAAUUCAGUGAAUCAUCGAAUCUUUGAACGCACAUUGCGCCCAUUAGUAUUCUAGUGGGCAUGCCUGUUCGAGCGUCAUUUCAACCCUUAAGCCUAGCUUAGUGUUGGGAGACUGCCUAAUACGCAGCUCCUCAAAACCAGUGGCGGAGUCUGUUCGUGCUCUGAGCGUAGUAAUUUUUUAUCUCGCUUCUGCAAGCCGGCCAGACGACAGCCAUAAACCGCACCCUCUCGGGGGGCACUUUUUUAAUGGUUGACCUCGGAUCAGGUAGGAAUACCCGCUGAACUUAAGCAUAUCAAUAA
RNAcentral lists this ribosomal RNA (518 nucleotides) under fungal sp. Its description in RNAcentral is "eukaryotic LSU rRNA". The stretch from base 143 to 296 matches the Rfam family "5.8S ribosomal RNA". The record is from RNAcentral. Lineage: Eukaryota; Fungi.